GGAUGACUGAACCUAGAGGUAUGUGUUUUUGUUUUUAUUUUGUUUUCUUUCUUUUAUUCACUGAAGAGACCCAGAAAGAGUGGUAUUCCUUCAAAUUUUUUCCUGUCCAGUUUUCAAUUAAGAGUUAUAUAUAUAUAUCAAAUACUGGGAUGAAGAAAGGAAAUGACCAUAGCAUUUCACCAUCUACAAGGCAAGAACUGCCACUUUCUCAGCCUUCACUUAGUUAUGGAGUUCCUACCAUGUGAGCUGCAAACCAGACUGUGACUGACCACCAGCCAAUCCCAGUUGCCUGGAACCAAGAAGGUCUUAGAAGAAAACAUAUUCAGGAUAAUUUUGUCCCAUGACCACCUGAAAGGAAAAGAGAGAUUUCAGAGUAACAAUUAGAGCCAGCAAAGAUUUGUUGUACUCCUAACCAAGAGAAACCAUCACUAUUUUUAAAUAAUGGUGUGGAGAGGAC
This 457-nucleotide long non-coding RNA is filed under the name Mustela putorius furo (domestic ferret). Its description in RNAcentral is "lncRNA (ENSMPUG00000027126.1)". Lineage: Eukaryota; Metazoa; Chordata; Mammalia; Carnivora; Mustelidae. The record is from RNAcentral.